UACGGAAGGCAGCAGUGGGGAAUAUUGCACAAUGGGCGAAAGCCUGAUGCAGCUAUGCCGCGUGUAUGAAGAAGGCCUUAGGGUUGUAAAGUACUUUCAUCGGGGAGGAAAAACAAAACUAAUAAUUUUAUUUCUUGACGUUACCCGAAAAAGAAGCACCGGCUAACUCCGUGCCAGCAGCCGCGGUAAUACGGAGGGUGCUAGCGUUAAUCAGAAUUACUGGGCGUAAAGAGCACGUAGGUGGUUUUUUUAAGUCAGAUGUGAAAUCCCUGGGCUUAACCUAGGAACUGCAUUUUGAAACUGAAAUACUAGAGUAUCGUAGAGGGAGGUAGAAUUCUAGGUGUAGCGGUGAAAUGCGUAGAUAUCUGGAGAAAUACCUGUGGCGAAAGCGGCCUCCUAAACGAAUACUGACACUGAGGUGCGAAAGCGUGGGGAGCAAACAGGGAUUAGAUACC
This 455-nucleotide ribosomal RNA is filed under the name uncultured bacterium. RNAcentral describes it as "bacterial SSU rRNA". It matches the Rfam family "Bacterial small subunit ribosomal RNA", at positions 340 to 786 of the family's 1533-position model. The record is from RNAcentral.